RNAcentral lists this ribosomal RNA (493 nucleotides) under uncultured bacterium. Its description in RNAcentral is "partial 16S ribosomal RNA". It matches the Rfam family "Bacterial small subunit ribosomal RNA", at positions 29 to 507 of the family's 1533-position model. The record is from RNAcentral.
ACGAACGCUGGCGGCGUGCUUAACACAUGCAAGUCGAACGGUGAAGCGCCUUCCUUUUUGGUGGGUGUGGAUGAGUGGCGAACGGGUGAGUAACACGUGAGUAACCUGCCCCCUUCUUCUGGAUAACCGCAUGAAAGUGUGGCUAAUACGGGAUAUUCUGGGUCUGUCGCAUGAUGGGUCUGGGAAAGAUAUUGUUUCGGUGGGGGAUGGGCUCGCGGCCUAUCAGCUUAUUGGUGGGGUGAUGGCCUACCAAGGCGGUGACGGGUAGCCGGCCUGAGAGGGUGGACGGUCACACUGGGACUGAGACACGGCCCAGACUCCUACGGGAGGCAGCAGUGGGGAAUAUUGCACAAUGGGCGCAAGCCUGAUGCAGCGACGCCGCGUGAGGGAUGGAGGCCUUCGGGUUGUGAACCUCUUUCGCCAGUGAAGCAGGCCUGCCUCGUUUGUGGGUGGGUUGACGGUAGCUGGAUAAGAAGCGCCGGCUAACUACGUG